UUUGUACAAGCCAUCCAACUUAUCAAUUUUGUCAGCAGAAUAGCAGCCAUUUUCGGAAUACAGCCCAAGACAUUUUUGUAUACCUUCAUAAUAUCUAUAGUUGUCAGGAUUCAUGGCAAGUAACACCCUGUAUAAUUCAGCGCCCUCUUCAAGGCGACCAAGCUUCACCAGAAGAGAAACUUCUUGUUCUUUGAAUGCCAACUUAUCAACAAUUUUUGACCCUUUCUUGUGCAACUCCUCAAGAGCUCUCUCAAGAGAGCCACAUUCCUCUAAUAAAGAGAUCUUGUAUAAAAGCAUUUCCCCAUGCUCACAUUGUUCAUUGUCUGGAGGAUAAUCAUCCUCCAGUGUCCCUUCAUAUGCUUCCAGAAUUUCAACUGCUUUUGAAGCAUUCGAGUUUAAAUGGUGAGCAACAGCAAAGCCAAUCCAAUUCAUGCGAUGAUUCGGUUUCAGGGUUAAAAGCCGUUGUCUAGUCUCAAUAAAACCUGUUAAAUCACGCAUUUGUGCCUGCAAGAGUGACAAGUCCCGCAGUAUUUCAAUAUUGUCUGGAUCUAUUUUCAAUGCAUUUCGAUAGCAUUUGAUAGCCUCCCUAUAUUCUCUAUCAGACCGAUAAAGGAGACCAUAAACAUGCCAACAAACAUGACUUUUUAGGUCAUUCUUUAAGCCAAGCCGGACAAGAUCAUAUGCUUCAGGUUUACGAUCCAUGCAAUUUAAGGUCAAACCCUUCAUUGAUAAAGUUUCUCCAUGAUCUGGAAACUUUUUUAAAAUAGCAUCUGCUGCCUUCAGCCCCUUCUUGUACUGUUUAGUUUCAUAUGAUUUAACUAUGAGCUUGAAGAGGUUGGCCUCUUUGGGAGGCAGGGAAGCCCCCAUUGUUAAUAAAUGAGAGGUUUUGAUAGAGAAAAUAAAUAGGGCUUAGAACUAUAAAAUUUGCCAGAGAUAUAGAAGGGUUUGGUGAAGGCCUUUUAUGUAUCAGAGAGCUACGAAAUGAUACAGAGAGAGAGAGAGAGAGAGAGGAGAGAA
RNAcentral lists this unclassified non-coding RNA (1017 nucleotides) under Hevea brasiliensis (rubber tree). Lineage: Eukaryota; Viridiplantae; Streptophyta; Magnoliopsida; Malpighiales; Euphorbiaceae. The record is from RNAcentral.